Molecule: non-coding RNA, 1187 nt
Organism: Microcebus murinus (gray mouse lemur)
Lineage: Eukaryota; Metazoa; Chordata; Mammalia; Primates; Cheirogaleidae
Source: RefSeq, a predicted model, not a curated record
AGUGAGAAGAGACAUAGCAGAGCCGAGAACCACCCCUCAGCAUACCACUCUAGACAUUGGUUUCUCUAGGAUGGAGUAGAGGUCAGAUGCCCACAGGCCUCCGUGGGAUCUGAGGAGUCCUCCCUCGCCUCUGGAGGCCUGAUUCCCCCACCCCCACUUAGAGGGGCCUUCUCAUCAGCAAUCUGUGAUAUCAGUGCCAGAGCUGUGCAGAGGGGGACCACUGGCACUCUCCCCUCUGAACCUGAAGUCUCCAGGGAGCCACAGCCAACUUCCCCUGGGAUUCAGGAUACUCCCAUUUUUAACUAGGACGUCUUGGAGGAAGCGUCAGAUCACUCACUAGCUGUUCACUGUGAGGGGGUCUGCUGCAUUUGGAAAGAAAGAAGGGUGUUUCUGAGAAAUAUGCCAGGCUGGAAAUAGGGGAGAGUCAGGUCCCUCAUUCUGGGAGGGAGUGACAAUGCAAACACAAACUAGGAAUUGAUUUUCCUUCCUAAGAGAGAGGAGCGGCUUUCUUCAAGUGGCUGUGGUACACAACCAGCGCCAGGCAUGCUCAUGCCAGCGGCGUCCCAGUUGCGGGUCUAGCAGGAAACCCACACGGAGAUUUCUGUGGAACAUGAGGCCCUGUGGCUCUAGAACGAGCCCAGGACAGGCAGGACCCUGGGCCUGAGGGUCUUUAGUCCCACUAAAGAGGAAUCUCGUUUUUCAAAGAUAUCCCCAAACUCUUCUCUCCACUGAACUUCUGUAUAAUGAGUUGGCAAGAACUUGGGACAAUGAAUCAAAGAAUUGAGUCCUGGUUUAGUUCUUCUCUAAACAGCUGUGUAGCUCUAGGGGAAGUUAAUAGCCUUUCUUGGGCUCAAGUUUUAUUAUUUGUAAAUGGGAAUUUUCUCAGAAAUCUUUCCUUCAAAAUCCAACUUCAAACAAUUAGGGAGGUAGAGCAGAAUAGGGAUUCAGAGUGUGGGCCUUGAUGUGAGAACUACCCAAGUCUGAAUCCUAGACCCUCCAUCCGUUGGCUUCGUGACCAGUACCUGUGAGGUAGGUACUAUCGAGAUAACCAUAGUGCCUCUCUCACAGGGUUGCUAAUGAGAAUAAAAUGAAGUAAACAGCCUAAUUGGAUUCUAGAAAUUCUUCAGUAAGAAAAAAGAAAAUGCAGAUAGCCUUACACUAGAUGGGCAGAGGGGAAAAAAAAAAAA